AUUGAACGCUGGCGGCAGGCCUAACACAUGCAAGUCGAACGGUAACAGAAAGCAGCUUGCUGCUUUGCUGACGAGUGGCGGACGGGUGAGUAAUGUCUGGGAAACUGCCUGAUGGAGGGGGAUAACUACUGGAAACGGUAGCUAAUACCGCAUAACGUCGCAAGACCAAAGAGGGGGACCUUCGGGCCUCUUGCCAUCGGAUGUGCCCAGAUGGGAUUAGCUAGUAGGUGGGGUAACGGCUCACCUAGGCGACGAUCCCUAGCUGGUCUGAGAGGAUGACCAGCCACACUGGAACUGAGACACGGUCCAGACUCCUACGGGAGGCAGCAGUGGGAAUAUUGCACAAAGGGCGCAAGCCUGAUGCAGCCAUGCCGCGUGUAUGAAGAAGGCCUUCGGGUUGUAAAGUACUUUCAGCGGGGAGGAAGGGAGUAAAGUUAAUACCUUUGCUCAUUGACGUUACCCGCAGAAGAAGCACCGGCUAACUCCGUG
Molecule: ribosomal RNA, 489 nt
Filed under: uncultured bacterium
Lineage: Bacteria
Description: partial 16S ribosomal RNA
Rfam family: Bacterial small subunit ribosomal RNA
Source: RNAcentral